RNAcentral lists this ribosomal RNA (254 nucleotides) under uncultured bacterium. RNAcentral describes it as "partial 16S ribosomal RNA". It matches the Rfam family "Bacterial small subunit ribosomal RNA", at positions 524 to 776 of the family's 1533-position model. The record is from RNAcentral.
UACGUAGGCAGCGAGCGUUGUUCGGAUUUACUGGGCGUAAAGGGUGUGUAGGCGGUUGUUUAAGUUUGGUGUGAAAUCUCCCGGCUCAACUGGGAGGGUGCGCCGAAUACUGAAUGACUUGGAGUGCGGGAGAGGUGAGUGGAAUUCCUGGUGUAGCGGUGAAAUGCGUAGAUAUCAGGAGGAACACCGGUGGUGUAGACGGCUCACUGGACCGUAACUGACGCUGAGACACGAAAGCGUGGGUAGCAAACAGG